CGUCUCCCAGCGAGCCUGCAGGAGUGGCUCGCGCCCACGGACGGUCACCAUCCGUGUCGCCGCCGGGGCAAGGGUUCCUUGGCAAUGUUCGUCAGCCAAGGGUUAGUCGAUCCUAAGGUAGUUCUUAAUCGAAGCUAUCGAAUGGGAAACAGGUUAAUAUUCCUGUACCAGUAAGAUCUUUGCCUAUGUUGAUGGAUCGGGAUAGUUGUUGUACACCCGUCAGUGUAUCCAAGCGCCGAAUCCGAUGAAGAACCGUAAUGGUGAGAAGUUGGAGAAUGCGUGAUGGGGCAGGCGUAAGCCUGCUUAUGAUGAUUCCUGGUCCCCGUGAAAACCUCAUAGUUACAAUCUUAUUGUUCGUACCAAGCACCGACACAGGUGUCCCUAGGUGAGUAGCCUAAGGCGUGUUAGCAUAAUCGUGGCGAGGGAACUCGGCAAAUUAGCCCUGUAACUUCGGGAUAAGGGGUGCCAGUAGUGAGAGCUACUGGUCGCAGUGACAAGAGAACACCGACUGUUUAAUAAAAACAUAGGUCUCUGCUAGUUCGAAAGGAUGUGUAUAGAGGCCGAAGCCUGCCCAGUGUCGGCAUCUGAAAAUCUGUUUCAACGGAUCGAAGGACCGAUAAACGGCGGGGGUAACUAUGACCCUCUUAAGGUAGCGUAAUACCUUGUCGCUUAAUUGGCGACUUGCAUGAAGGCUCAACGAGUGUUCUACUGUCCCCGCCAUGACGCUAGUGAAAACAAUCAGUCUGGUGCACAAUCCAGACCCCUCCAUCUGAAAGCGAAGACCCCAUGGAGUUUCACUGCAACCUGUUGUUGUUGUAAGAAUUGGCAUGUGUAGGGUAGGCGGGAGACGUUACCCAGGAAGGUGCGCUAGCAUCUCUCCGAGUCACCGAUGAAACACCGCCCUUGUCAAUUUUUACGACUCACCUCUCAGGAGGGACAGCUAUAGGCAGGCAGUUCGGGUGGGGCGCCACGCCCUCAAAAAGAUAACAAGGGCGCCCAAAGGUUAGCUCAGGUAGGUCAGAAAUCUACCGAAGAAUGUAAGGGUAUAAGCUAGCUUGACUCGGAACCAGACAAUAGGGUUCGGAGAUAGGAAACUAUGGCCUAGCGAACCAAUCAACCUCCUGAAUGGGGGUGAUUGAUGUCAGAAAAAUUACCCUGGGGAUAAUUGAGUUGUCACGAGCAAGAGUUCAUAUCGACCUCGUGGCUUGCUACUUCGCUGUCGGCUCUCCCUAUCCUGGUGGUGCAGCAGCUGCCAAGGGUGGGGUUGUUCGCCCAUUAAAAGGGAUCGUGAGCUGGGUUUAAAACGUCGCGAGACAGUUUUGUUGCUUUUUGAUGGAGGUGUUGGUACCUGAUGAGAAGGACCCUUUAGUACGAGAGGAACAGGGGUUCGUCGCCUCUAGUUUAUCAGUUGUCUGACAAGGCAUGCUGAGUAGCCACGCGGCAGUGGAUAAGAGCUGAAGGCAUCUAAGCUCGAAGCCACCUUAAAAAAGAGGUACCCAUAGGACGCUCGUAAAUGACGAGUUUGAUAGAAGCCGGAUGUAAGUACCGAGGUUCGCCGAGGUAUUCAGUCCUGGCUUACUAAAGUUCUUUGAACGUC
Molecule: ribosomal RNA, 1597 nt
Filed under: human gut metagenome
Description: bacterial LSU rRNA
Rfam family: Archaeal large subunit ribosomal RNA
Source: RNAcentral